This 352-nucleotide ribosomal RNA is filed under the name uncultured bacterium. RNAcentral's name for it is "bacterial SSU rRNA". It matches the Rfam family "Bacterial small subunit ribosomal RNA", at positions 527 to 881 of the family's 1533-position model. The record is from RNAcentral.
GGAAGGUCCGGGCGUUAUCCGGAUUUAUUGGGUUUAAAGGGAGCGUAGAUGGAUGUUUAAGUCAGUUGUGAAAGUUUGCGGCUCAACCGUAAAAUUGCAGUUGAUACUGGAUAUCUUGAGUGCAGUUGAGGCAGGCGGAAUUCGUGGUGUAGCGGUGAAAUGCUUAGAUAUCACGAAGAACUCCGAUUGCGAAGGCAGCCUGCUAAGCUGCAACUGACAUUGAGGCUCGAAAGUGUGGGUAUCAAACAGGAUUAGAUACCCUGGUAGUCCACACGGUAAACGAUGAAUACUCGCUGUUUGCGAUAUACAGCAAGCGGCCAAGCGAAAGCAUUAAGCAUCCCACCUGAGGAGU